RNAcentral lists this long non-coding RNA (2570 nucleotides) under Mus pahari (shrew mouse). Its description in RNAcentral is "RIKEN cDNA 9330175M20 gene (MGP_PahariEiJ_G0003586.1)". The record is from RNAcentral. Lineage: Eukaryota; Metazoa; Chordata; Mammalia; Rodentia; Muridae.
AGGAACGGUACAGAAGGACAAGCAGGCCAGGAAGCCCACAGCUCCGUUUGAAAAGUGACAACUGCCUUGACAUUUACUCAGGCUCAGCCGCUCAUUUAGGGAGGAAGAGGCCUCAGUCUGAUGCAGAACUCACUAAUACUGUAAACCUUGCUAGCUUGUCUGCCCUGAUCGCCCGUAGCUGCUUUUUGAACUUAGAAUUAUAUGCAGGCUGCCAUGUCUCCCUGUCAUUUAAAGAAUCUCUUAUUCACGAAGAAAGCCAAAUAUUUAUUACAUUUGAAAGCUAGGAAGGCAGAAGAGAGAGAGAGAAAGUCAAGUACCUCCCAGAGACCUAACCAGGCCCCAAAUGAAGGAUUCUUGGCUGGUGAAAGAACGAAAAAAUGUCUUUGGACGCCUCUGCCAGCCUCAGUCAAAGUUUGCAUUUCCUUCACAGGAUGACAUUCUCUGCGAAGACACUGCUUGUGUAUGCAGAACGGAUGAGCCUCCUCUUGCUGGUCCUGGGGCACACACAUUCAGAUGGCUCUGUUGAAAUCUAACUCCAACUCCCUGCGUCCCCUUGACCAUCUUCCAAGAGAGUGGAUCCUUCCAAAGCCUCAAUUUUAGCUCAAGUCUGAGAUGAUUUCAAGCUCUCAACUUGUGUGUGUGUGUGUGUGUGUGUGUGUGUGUGUGUGUGUGUGUGUGUAAAUGUUAAAAGAAGACUAUAAAGAAUGGACCCAUUCCUCUGUGGAUCCAACCUUCUGUUUCCCUAGUAACAUUAGAAAGAAAAAUAGCACAAUUUCCCCUCCUUGGGAUUUAAAACAUCACAUGGAAAAUAGAAGUAUCACCUUUGCUUUAUUCAAGUCCUUUGAUGAAGAAGAACUUCCUCUUGGUCGAAAGAAUGACACUUGAGUUAUACUUGUGACUCUAAUGGAGACAUGACAUCCUGAUCUUUUCCAAAGAUUAGAAUAUUACGUAGUAUUGUUUUCUCCUUUAAGAGGAAACCAGUAUAUAAGGCUUGAAGAAAGAAAUUGAGCUAGAACUAACCAGGAAGCCUCUUGCCAAAGGUGAGCUUUCAUUGUAUCUGAAGAUGUUAUAUAAGUUUCCAAGGUAGAAAAGCAGUCAAUAGUACUACCCUAGUGUAAAGGCUAUAGAUCACAUCAGUGAAUAUCAUGGGAAGACAACCCCAAGGGCACUUAGGUUUAGGGAAAACCAGUAGCCGUCCAAUUGGACUUAAGGCUCUCUUAGUAGGUAAGAUCCAUUCUGGGGACUCCAAACCUAGCCAACUACAGGUGCUGGGAAGGUCAUGGACCUAAUGGAGAAUCUGCUAUUGCCACUUUUCUAAGCCAGUGCAAUUUCUAAUGAAAUUCUAAGUAGGAACUCUAAAUUGAACUCUAAUAAGGAAUGUUUCCUUAUUUUGAAUAAGAAUCUCUUACCUAUCAACAAAGAAAAAAAUUCUUUUCAUCAGAUGGAGACUAUUACAAAAAUCUACAGCCAGUCACAUAAAGAUACCAGUUGACUCGGGAGUGCCUAACACAAACUGAUACAUGUACAGUACAGUUCCUACACCCCAGGCUCAGGAAGCACCCCAGAAAAUGUGGCAGAAAUACUGAAAGAACCAGAGACCAGGACAUCUGCUGUGAGAUGGUAUCUUCUAUAUAUUAUAGAGAAGCUGUACCCAUGGAAUCUCAAAAAUAUGGUUGCGUGGGCAGGAUCUCCACAAAGACAACACGAGUUGACAUUCCAGUGUAGAUAGGAGAAAUAUCAAAUUAUCAAAAUAUAAAUUCCCCUAAAGGAAAAUAUGGGCAAUUAAUGGAUGCUGAGAGAGGAAGAAUCAGGCCUCUCCUUGGGCAAGCCCCUAUGUUACCCAGUCCCAAGCAGUCAUCCCUAAAGAAAUAUAUACACAAGCAGCACUAAACAGAUCCAUAAAGCUGGAUUUAUAUAUAUAUAUAUGUGUGUGUGUGUUUAUAUGUGUAGUAAUAAUUAAAGAAGAGUUGGGGGACAUGGGAGGUGUUGGAGGAGGAGAAAGAACCAUGCAAAUGACAUAAAUAUAGUACUCAUGUAUGCAAUUCUCAAUACAAAAUUCAAAGAGAAAAAUCACAGUUAAUCUACCUGGAUCUGUCAAUUACUUGCCCUGAAAACUACACCUCAAGAAACAGAGUCAUCUGAAGGCACACUAAAGAGAUGGGAAGAGUAGCCACGCUCUUCAUGAUGCAGCACAGAAUGCGGAGUACCGUCUCGUCGGGAGCGUCCAUCCUGCAGCCCUGCUAGCCCUACCCAACCCUAGUUCUCUGUUCUAACUGAACAGAGUCUAACCUUUUUCUAUUUCUUCUUAUUUCCUUUUCUUGCGAUACUGCCUAGACCUCUAAUUAUGCUUUACUUCAGGGCUUUGGCACUCUUUCUCUGAAGCCCCUGACCUUCUGCAUUGCAGCCUCAUGCUACCCUGCUGAACAUUGCUAAUGUUGCUGAACAUGCUGCCAUCCCUAACUCAGAUGCAUGACUUUCUUUCUUCCUUACCUCGAAGUAGUUACUGAGAUUUUCAGCCUGCCUGUAUUGUUGCUUUUCUCUCAAACUCUAAUAAAAUUGCCCUCUAACUU